Molecule: long non-coding RNA, 2449 nt
Filed under: Gallus gallus (chicken)
Lineage: Eukaryota; Metazoa; Chordata; Aves; Galliformes; Phasianidae
Description: lncRNA (ENSGALG00010020656.1)
Source: RNAcentral
GAACACCUUAUCUGCUCUCGAGAGCUGUGACUCUUCAUCCUUUCCUUAUGAAGACCCAGGGGAUUGCUUACUUAGCAUCCACCAGAGGCAAUGGAUAGGGUGAGCAGUCACUGCAGCCAGAAAAGCCCAGCACGGAGCAAAGGCAAUUACCUCCGCACGCAGAGACUUUGGAGCUGAAUUGUGCUGAACGGAGAACCCCUCCGGCUGGCAGAGCCAUGUGCGGCCGAGAAGAGCAGCCACUUUCGCUCCGCUGAAAAGCAAUGCAGGAACCCUCGUGGUGUACGGUGCUGCUGGGUGCAAUCAUUAAGGCAAUGAGCAAACGCUCUCCACUUGUUGUCCAACUUUGAAGACGGGCAGAUCUACAAGGCAGGUCCCCAGAAGCUCUGUUCCUAAAGCAGAAGUGCAAUAGUGCUCAAGGAGGAUUAAAGGACUAGGAUCGAGUACUUCCUAAAUACUGCUGCCUGCCCCUGUUCUAAACAACAGCUCAAAAAUAACAUACUUGCCUCUUCCGAGGGCUGUUCAAGAAGUAUAGGUAUGCACCCAAAAUAUAUCCAGAAGUUGAAAGAUCAGGCUCAACAUUUUGCAAAAAUAUUCCUACAGGGCAGUUUGACCUUCAGAAGAUACAGAACUGGCCCACGGUUCCUCUUUCUCUGAAGCUUUAGAAAAGAAUUCUGACAUAGGGCAUUUUGGUGGGUAGUUCAAUGCAAUGAACUUAAAAAAUAAGGCCAUGGAAGUACAACUACUGAUAAGCUCAGUGAUCAGUGACAGACUGCAAAACAGACAUCUGAUUUGCACAGAAACAUCUGGAGGGAGCUCCAAAUGCUCUGUGCUUGGUUCUGAGUCUCUGGGACUUGGCUCGUGGAAUUUUUAAUGUUCUUUUAAUCUCUUUUGAACAUAAAUAAGAGGGGAAGAGCAUGUGAACUUAACGAGUGUUUGCUUCAACAACAGCUUCAGAGACAUGUACACUUUCUGAACAUAACUUUAACAUUACAUUUCAUAUCCAUUUCACCUAGCCCUGGCAAGGCUAAGCCCCUGGGGUCCUAUUCACAAAUACUCAUGGCAGCCAGCGAGGGAAGGAUUCCAAGUCAGGAGGAACAUCAUAUCCCUGGUGUGUCAGUCAGUACUUUGUUCAGAGGGAAAGACGACGAAGCAAGACAGAAGGCUGCUGAAAACACAGAUGCUCACAUUUCUCCCACUAGAAACAGAACAAGAAUUUAUUUUCUUUUAUCAUAAAUCACAGGUUUUCUCUUAACGCUAUGCUUUAGACCUUCAGUCAGGGCUUAUGGCAGUAUAGAACCGCAUGCUCAAGUAAAUAUAAACUAUCUGGUGGAAAUGUCUUUCCUUAUUUCUCUUUCUACUGCUGCCCCAUCUGAUUGAUUUGUUGAUUACUGGAGAAUUUGCUGCAUCACACCUUUAGUUUAGUUUAAGCUAUAAACUGGCCAGAAGUAAGCUGAUGUCCCCCAUUCAAUAUUGUUUUUCUGCACUGAUAUUCAAGCCCCCAUUGUCUCUGCCAGCAUCACCAACCUAUCUAUCACUUCUUACCAAAUGACCACACCACACCAUAUGUUGCAGAAUUAUUUUGGAUUUUCACCAGCUUAGUUUAAAAAUCAGUCCUCGAUCUGAGCAUGAUCCAGCCAAGAGGAGGAAAAACUAAUAGAUAUGAUAUCAUUUUUUCUACCUUCCUUGAAGGCACUAAGUAUUUGUCACACAGAGCCUUGCCAUAUUGAUCCCUUUACCUUCACUAUGAAGAUGGAUCGUGCUGUGUGUGGGUCUGCCCGAGUCAUUUUGUGAACCUUGUGCUUCUUUAUGGGGGAAAUUGGGGAAAAUAAUAUGUCAUAUCAAUGUGGCGUAUCAAUUACACACGAUAGUGCAAAGAAAGGCCUAUAAAGGAGAGGUAUCAUGGAGUCAGAACAAAGGUGAGAUUAUACACAUUUACCAAGUGGCCCAUUUACUGUGAGGUUUCUAGAGAGGUUCAGAAAGAACUGGUAUUAGGCUGGGAAGGGAAAUCACUCCAAGCUGGCAACUUGUCAGGAAAGUAUCUGCCAUUACAUGAGGCUCAAAUAAUGACAAAUCAUAACAAAUCAUUCAAAGUCAUGAAACUCGGGAACUCCGUUCACUUCUCAUGGGCUGUGUCUGUUCACCACAUGAAAGAUGACUAACACAUUCUCUCCCAAUUCAGACUCUGUCACACCAUUACAAUGCUUGGGAUUCUCUGUGUUUGCCACGGGGAUUUUCUGGAAAGAAGCAGAUUCUCCAGUUCAGAAAACAACUGAUGCCACUUCAUAUCAUUUUUAUCAUUGAGCCACAUCUCAGAAAUGACCUUUUUAAGAGUUGUCUGAAGAAUGGGAACAGGUUACUAAAAGGAAGGAAGAAGAAAUGGUAUCCAACUGGAAGAAAAAAAAAAAGCAAGGAAGUUUUAAACCAUGCUUCCAUGUCCGUAGCAACGCCG